CAAUGGCCUCUGCAAAAGGGUGGGGCUUAAGGGGUCGGGUGCUGGAGCCCGCUCCCGAAAAAGAUGCCAGGGCUCCGUUGGUGGAGACAGGAAGAGUAGAAAGAAGAGCGUAUCAGCGGUGACGGGGGCGGAUACUUCCUCCGGGAUUGCCCAAUCGCAGAGUCGGGACAGUUUCUAUAAAUGCUUGAGUCUCGCGGCCCCGCGGUCUUUUAGGAUCAAGCACGCGGUUGGAAACGUCGCUGUAGGUUCCCAGUGCUGCACUUUGGAGGGCCGGGACCCUGGCCCAGCGGGGCUUGGGGAGGUGGCCCAAAUUCGUCGGCCAACCUGGUCUCCGGGCUCCUCCCUCAGCCCGAGCGCCCACAUUGGUCUUUAGCUCUCCGCCCGUCUGCCUCCCGCUCUCCGCAGUUCCGUCGGAAGUCCGAAUUAUUUCUGGUUCCCAGAGGACCGUCGGUGACCCGGCUGGAGACCUUGAGGUCAGCGUCUUUCUAAGGGGCCUUGGUUCCCUGACGGGGAUCCUUGGAUUCCAGGUAAAUCCAGGGCCUUUCCCAGCUGCGGCUGGGAAAUGUCUGGCUUUUCCCUCUCUUCACGGUUUCUGCCUCGCUUUUUUUCUAAGGCUUCCCUCUUGGGAGGAAGGCUGGUGUUUCGUGCCUUUUGGGAGGAUAAUUUCUUGAACCUCACUCGCAAACUGUGCCUUGGUCAAACUCAAUGCUAUGUCCGGUAGAAUUCAUACGUCCCUUUAGGCAUCAUCAGGAACGCAGGGUGAACGACUUGGAACCCUCCUGUUGCUCCCACCUCACCCUCUGCCUUCGUGCCACCUUCUGUUACUCCCAAUUCCAGUUCCCCCAAGUUAUUUUUAUUCCCUCUUGGACCCCCUUCACUUCCAGCCUGUGCAGUAUAUUCCCACCUGCAAGCACCCUAUUGCCUGGUCAGUUCCAUGCAGCCCAGUCCCCGGGGGAUAUACUCAAGUAUAGGAAAAUAAGAGAGACGAUAUGGUCAGUUCAGCCAACUGCAGUGUAUCAAGUUUGAUACUCUUUUAAGGUUUUCUAAAAAUCUUUCACAGGCUGUCCCUGAAAGAGAACAGGGUUUUCUUCCUCUUAGAUCAUUUCCUUGAUCUUUUUCAGUGUUUAAUGGCUUUCAAAUACACUUUCUCAUCCCUUCUCACAGGUUGACCUCUCUGCUCCCUAGGGUCAGUCCCCCUGAAACUAGGCAAAAACUCAGUUACAAUUAGACCCAUAAACACAAAUGCCAUAGCUCCUAGAGGUGGCCUUCGAAGUAUUUAGUGAUGGAGAAGGAAAGGACUCACCAUGAAAAAGCCAGACCAAGGCUCAAACUAAAUAGAUAGCCUUUGCUCUCAGCCAUGCUUCAUACAUAACCUCAGGGCAACCCAAAGUGGGCAGGAGGGGUCAACCAUCAGUCUGGAGGUGAAACGAACAAGGGGGGUUUAAGUGUAAGCCAACUAGCCGUUGGCCAGUGAGUACCAGGAGCUCCCAGGCCAUGCCCAGUCUACACACAGGCUAGUCACUGGGGAUGGGACUGCCCUUGGUCGCUAAGGAGGGGGGCCCUUCUCCUGGGAUGGCCAUGCUGGAAGCCCAGGGAUUCUCGUUGCUCCCCCACCACAAGAUGUCUGUAUCCAUCGAGGAGCCCCUGAUGGCAGGUAAGAAU
Bubalus bubalis (water buffalo) is the source of this 1662-nucleotide long non-coding RNA. RefSeq lists it as uncharacterized. Lineage: Eukaryota; Metazoa; Chordata; Mammalia; Artiodactyla; Bovidae. The transcript has 2 exons. The record is from RefSeq and is a predicted model, not a curated record.